RNAcentral lists this ribosomal RNA (273 nucleotides) under uncultured Staphylococcus sp. RNAcentral describes it as "partial 16S ribosomal RNA". It matches the Rfam family "Bacterial small subunit ribosomal RNA", at positions 89 to 354 of the family's 1533-position model. Lineage: Bacteria; Bacillati; Bacillota; Bacilli; Caryophanales; Staphylococcaceae. The record is from RNAcentral.
ACGUUAGCGGCGGACGGGUGAGUAACACGUGGGUAACCUACCUAUAAGACUGGGAUAACUUCGGGAAACCGGAGCUAAUACCGGAUAAUAUUUCUAACCGCAUGGUUCGAUAGUGAAAGAUGGUUUUGCUAUCACUUAUAGAUGGACCUGCGCCGUAUUAGCUAGUUGGUAAGGUAACGGCUUACCAAGGCGACGAUACGUAGCCGACCUGAGAGGGUGAUCGGCCACACUGGAACUGAGACACGGUCCAGACUCCUACGGGAGGCAGCAGGG